This 75-nucleotide transfer RNA is filed under the name Limisphaerales bacterium. RNAcentral's name for it is "tRNA-Val". It matches the Rfam family "tRNA". From Rfam's summary of the family: Transfer RNA (tRNA) molecules are approximately 80 nucleotides in length. The record is from RNAcentral. Lineage: Bacteria; Pseudomonadati; Verrucomicrobiota; Verrucomicrobiia; Limisphaerales.
GCGCGAUUAGCUCAGCGGUAGAGCAUCACCUUGACACGGUGGAGGUCACUGGUUCGAACCCAGUAUCGCGCACCA